GACGAACGCUGGCGGCGGGCUUAACACAUGCAAGUCGAACGGAAAGGCCCUGCUUGUGUCUGGUGCCCGAGUGGCGAACGGGUGAGUAACACGUGAGUAACCUGCCCUUGACUGUGUGAUAACUUCAGGAAACUGCGGCUAAUACCUGAUAGGAGCUCCUGCUGCAUGGUGGGGGUUGGAAAGCUUCGGCGGUUGGGGAUGGACUCGCGGGUUACCAGCUUGUUGGUGGGGUAGUGGCUUACCAAGGCUUUGACGGGUAGCCGGCCUGAGAGGGUGACCGGGGACAUGGGGACUGAGAGACGGCGCAGACGGGUAUGGGAGACAGCAGUGGGGAGUAUGGCACAAUGAGGGGAAGUGUGAUGCAGAGGCGCUGGGUGCGGAAUGCCGGCCUUCGGGUUGUGAACCGCAUUAAGCUAUGACGAAGCUUGAUUGACGGUACUGGGUAAAGAAGCACCGGCUAACUACGUG
Molecule: ribosomal RNA, 468 nt
Filed under: uncultured bacterium
Lineage: Bacteria
Description: partial 16S ribosomal RNA
Rfam family: Bacterial small subunit ribosomal RNA
Source: RNAcentral